RNAcentral lists this ribosomal RNA (189 nucleotides) under Staphylococcus aureus. RNAcentral describes it as "partial 23S ribosomal RNA". It matches the Rfam family "Bacterial large subunit ribosomal RNA", at positions 1 to 187 of the family's 2925-position model. Lineage: Bacteria; Bacillati; Bacillota; Bacilli; Caryophanales; Staphylococcaceae. The record is from RNAcentral.
GAUUAAGUUAUUAAGGGCGCACGGUGGAUGCCUUGGCACUAGAAGCCGAUGAAGGACGUUACUAACGACGAUAUGCUUUGGGGAGCUGUAAGUAAGCUUUGAUCCAGAGAUUUCCGAAUGGGGAAACCCAGCAUGAGUUAUGUCAUGUUAUCGAUAUGUGAAUACAUAGCAUAUCAGAAGGCACACCCG